RNAcentral lists this ribosomal RNA (468 nucleotides) under uncultured bacterium. RNAcentral describes it as "partial 16S ribosomal RNA". It matches the Rfam family "Bacterial small subunit ribosomal RNA", at positions 28 to 507 of the family's 1533-position model. The record is from RNAcentral.
GACGAACGCUGGCGGCGUGCUUAACACAUGCAAGUCGAACGGAAAGGCCCUGCUUUUGUGGGGUGCUCGAGUGGCGAACGGGUGAGUAACACGUGAGUAACCUGCCCUUGACUUUGGGAUAACUUCAGGAAACUGGGGCUAAUACCGGAUAGGAUCUCCUGCUGCAUGGUGGGGGUUGGAAAGUUUCGGCGGUUGGGGCUGGACUCGCGGCUUAUCAGCUUGUUGGUGGGGUAGUGGCUUACCAAGGCUUUGACGGGUAGCCGGCCUGAGAGGGGGACCGGCGACAUUGGGACUGAGAUACGGCCCAGACGCCUACGGGAGGCAGCAGUGGGGAGUAUUGCACAAUGGGCGGAAGCCUGAUGCAGCAACGCCGCGUGCGGGAUGACGGCCUUCGGGUUGUAAACCGCUUUCGCCUGUGACGAAGCGUGAGUGACGGUAAUGGGUAAAGAAGCACCGGCUAACUACGUG